Molecule: long non-coding RNA, 374 nt
Organism: Ochotona princeps (American pika)
Lineage: Eukaryota; Metazoa; Chordata; Mammalia; Lagomorpha; Ochotonidae
Exons: 2
Source: RefSeq, a predicted model, not a curated record
CACAAGUUCAGUGCUUUUCACUGCCAAGAACAAACUCACCUGUGAACCCUUGUCCAGCCAGAGACCCAGCCACCAGUUACUGAAGGUGCAGCUGCCAAUCAUGAGGAGGAAGAGGGAGACUGCGAAGAGAGAGAGGAGAAUGACUUCAUCACAAGACUCCAAGAACUGCAGAAGUAGAGGGGUGAUUCACAGCACGCUUCUGCCUUGGGGAGGGACAGGCAUCCCUGGCUCACCAGCCGAGGGGAAUCUCACCACCAUCAUGCAAGGGUCAGGUGAUUCUUAGCUGCCUGUGCUCUGUGGCAGAGUUAGAAGUCUUCACCCACCAGCCUCCAUCCUUCCCCACUGACUGUGACCAGCCAUAAUAAGCAAAUAAA